AAACUCACAAGUACUUUCAUUUUCUUUGUUAGAAGGUAAGUGCUUUCAUUCCUUGUGCCUCUUGGUUCUCAGCUACCCGGUACAAUCUCUUGCUUCCACAAGUUAUGUAGAAAAAAAGAUUAUAUAUUUAUAAGCUAUCCUUUCUAUAGCAAGAUUUCUUUCUUAUCUUGGCUGUUCAGGACUUGCUGCCUUCUAAUGUACUGACCUUAAUACAAAAUUUACACUUAAAAUGAUCCUGUAUCAUGAUCUGUUUCAAUAUUUUUUAGUUUACCUUUACCACAGACUUUCUCAGAAAGGACAGCAGAUAUUUUGCUGCUUCUGAAUAUAGCUAAUCUUAAUUGGGAACAAAAGUUUCUAAACAUUAUAAAUUUUGCCUCAUUAUUGAAUUCUCCAAAGAUGUUUCUUUCAGUAAUAUGAGAAAAUUGUAAUAUUACUACUAGCAUACACAUAGGAAUCUAAGAUUAAUGGGUGAAUUUGUUUUAAUUUUUCAUGUUAACCAAAGGGAGUUCUCAUCUGGUCAUCCUAGAAUCUGCAUCUUGAUUGGCCAUUCUUUGGUCCUCUUUUUUGUAUUUUUUUCAUUUGCAAAAAUUCUACAUACAUAUGAUUCUUGCCAUCUAUUUUUUUUAAAUAUCAUGUAUUUUCCUAAAAAUCUUCAUUUUAUAAGCUGAUUUUCAGGAGUCCUUGAGCUAAAUUUAAUGCAAACAAUAUCUUUGAAUAACUCAACUUCAUAUUUGACAUAAAUUUGGGCAACCUAUAUCCAAAAGAACUAUAAAUUUGUCUGCUUUUGUCAUCAACACUCUUUACCAUUCUUGAGAUUUUGUAGUUAUAUUAAAGAUUUACUAUCUGAAACACAUAUACUUCU
This 862-nucleotide long non-coding RNA is filed under the name Marmota monax (woodchuck). Lineage: Eukaryota; Metazoa; Chordata; Mammalia; Rodentia; Sciuridae. The record is from RNAcentral.